Molecule: ribosomal RNA, 1542 nt
Filed under: Escherichia albertii
Lineage: Bacteria; Pseudomonadati; Pseudomonadota; Gammaproteobacteria; Enterobacterales; Enterobacteriaceae
Description: bacterial SSU rRNA
Rfam family: Bacterial small subunit ribosomal RNA
Source: RNAcentral
AAAUUGAAGAGUUUGAUCAUGGCUCAGAUUGAACGCUGGCGGCAGGCCUAACACAUGCAAGUCGAACGGUAACAGGAAGAAGCUUGCUUCUUUGCUGACGAGUGGCGGACGGGUGAGUAAUGUCUGGGAAACUGCCCGAUGGAGGGGGAUAACUACUGGAAACGGUAGCUAAUACCGCAUAACGUCGCAAGACCAAAGAGGGGGACCUUCGGGCCUCUUGCCAUCGGAUGUGCCCAGAUGGGAUUAGCUUGUUGGUGAGGUAACGGCUCACCAAGGCGACGAUCCCUAGCUGGUCUGAGAGGAUGACCAGCCACACUGGAACUGAGACACGGUCCAGACUCCUACGGGAGGCAGCAGUGGGGAAUAUUGCACAAUGGGCGCAAGCCUGAUGCAGCCAUGCCGCGUGUAUGAAGAAGGCCUUCGGGUUGUAAAGUACUUUCAGCGGGGAGGAAGGGAGUAAAGUUAAUACCUUUACUCAUUGACGUUACCCGCAGAAGAAGCACCGGCUAACUCCGUGCCAGCAGCCGCGGUAAUACGGAGGGUGCAAGCGUUAAUCGGAAUUACUGGGCGUAAAGCGCACGCAGGCGGUUUGUUAAGUCAGAUGUGAAAUCCCCGGGCUCAACCUGGGAACUGCAUCUGAUACUGGCAAGCUUGAGUCUCGUAGAGGGGGGUAGAAUUCCAGGUGUAGCGGUGAAAUGCGUAGAGAUCUGGAGGAAUACCGGUGGCGAAGGCGGCCCCCUGGACGAAGACUGACGCUCAGGUGCGAAAGCGUGGGGAGCAAACAGGAUUAGAUACCCUGGUAGUCCACGCCGUAAACGAUGUCGACUUGGAGGUUGUGCCCUUGAGGCGUGGCUUCCGGAGCUAACGCGUUAAGUCGACCGCCUGGGGAGUACGGCCGCAAGGUUAAAACUCAAAUGAAUUGACGGGGGCCCGCACAAGCGGUGGAGCAUGUGGUUUAAUUCGAUGCAACGCGAAGAACCUUACCUGGUCUUGACAUCCACGGAAGUUUUCAGAGAUGAGAAUGUGCCUUCGGGAACCGUGAGACAGGUGCUGCAUGGCUGUCGUCAGCUCGUGUUGUGAAAUGUUGGGUUAAGUCCCGCAACGAGCGCAACCCUUAUCCUUUGUUGCCAGCGGUCCGGCCGGGAACUCAAAGGAGACUGCCAGUGAUAAACUGGAGGAAGGUGGGGAUGACGUCAAGUCAUCAUGGCCCUUACGACCAGGGCUACACACGUGCUACAAUGGCGCAUACAAAGAGAAGCGACCUCGCGAGAGCAAGCGGACCUCAUAAAGUGCGUCGUAGUCCGGAUUGGAGUCUGCAACUCGACUCCAUGAAGUCGGAAUCGCUAGUAAUCGUGGAUCAGAAUGCCACGGUGAAUACGUUCCCGGGCCUUGUACACACCGCCCGUCACACCAUGGGAGUGGGUUGCAAAAGAAGUAGGUAGCUUAACCUUCGGGAGGGCGCUUACCACUUUGUGAUUCAUGACUGGGGUGAAGUCGUAACAAGGUAACCGUAGGGGAACCUGCGGUUGGAUCACCUCCUUA